RNAcentral lists this ribosomal RNA (488 nucleotides) under uncultured bacterium. Its description in RNAcentral is "bacterial SSU rRNA". It matches the Rfam family "Bacterial small subunit ribosomal RNA", at positions 43 to 507 of the family's 1533-position model. The record is from RNAcentral.
CGUGCCUAACACAUGCAAGUCGUACGAGAAAGUCGGCUUCGGCCGGCGAGUAAAGUGGCGCACGGGUGAGUAACGCGUGGAUAAUCUACCCUUGAGUUGGGAAUAACGUGCCGAAAGGUGCGCUAAUACCGAAUAAUACUGAGUGACUAAUGUUGCUUAGUCAAAGAAGGCCUCUGCUUGCAAGCUUUCGCUGAAGGAUGAGUCCGCGUACCAUUAGCUAGUUGGUAGGGUAAUGGCCUACCAAGGCAACGAUGGUUAGCUGGUCUGAGAGGAUGAUCAGCCACACUGGAACUGAGACACGGUCCAGACUCCUACGGGAGGCAGCAGUGAGGAAUAUUGCGCAAUGGGGGCAACCCUGACGCAGCAACGCCGCGUGAGUGAGGAAGGUUUUCGGACCGUAAAGCUCUGUCGAGCGGGAAGAAAUGCAUGCUGGCUAAUAUCCAUCAUGCUUGACGGUACCGCUAGAGGAAGCACCGGCUAACUCCGUG